RNAcentral lists this ribosomal RNA (243 nucleotides) under uncultured bacterium. RNAcentral describes it as "partial 16S ribosomal RNA". It matches the Rfam family "Bacterial small subunit ribosomal RNA", at positions 15 to 286 of the family's 1533-position model. The record is from RNAcentral.
GAUCAUGGCUCAGAACGAACGCUGGCGGCAUGCCUAAUACAUGCAAGUCGAACGAGAUCUUCGGAUCUAGUGGCGCACGGGUGCGUAACGCGUGGGAAUCUGCCCUUGGGUUCGGAAUAACAGUUGGAAACGACUGCUAAUACCGGAUGAUGACGUAAGUCCAAAGAUUUAUCGCCCAGGGAUGAGCCCGCGUAGGAUUAGCUAGUUGGUGGGGUAAAGGCCUACCAAGGCGACGAUCCUUAG